Molecule: transfer RNA, 72 nt
Filed under: Marmota marmota marmota (Alpine marmot)
Lineage: Eukaryota; Metazoa; Chordata; Mammalia; Rodentia; Sciuridae
Also listed under: 1 other name
Rfam family: tRNA
About the family: Transfer RNA (tRNA) molecules are approximately 80 nucleotides in length.
Source: Rfam by way of RNAcentral
GGGGUUGUGGCUCAGUGAUAGAGCACUUGCCUAGCAUGCAUGAGGCACUGGGUUCAAUCCCCGGCAACACAU